UGGGGAAUUUUGGACAAUGGGCGAAAGCCUGAUCCAGCAAUGCCGCGUGUGUGAAGAAGGCCUUCGGGUUGUAAAGCACUUUUGUCCGGAAAGAAAUCCUUGGCUCUAAUACAGUCGGGGGAUGACGGUACCGGAAGAAUAAGCACCGGCUAACUACGUGCCAGCAGCCGCGGUAAUACGUAGGGUGCAAGCGUUAAUCGGAAUUACUGGGCGUAAAGCGUGCGCAGGCGGUUUGCUAAGACCGAUGUGAAAUCCCCGGGCUCAACCUGGGAACUGCAUUGGUGACUGGCAGGCUAGAGUAUGGCAGAGGGGGGUAGAAUUCCACGUGUAGCAGUGAAAAUGCGUAGAGAUGUGGAGGAAUACCGAUGGCGAAGGCAGCCCCCUGGGCCAAUACUGACGCUCAUGCACGAAAGCGUGGGGAGCAAAACAGGAUUAGAUACCCUGGUAGUCCACGCCCUAAAACGAUGUCAACUAGUUGUUGGGGAUUCAUUUCCUUAGUAACGUAGCUAACGCGUGAAGUUGACCGCCUGGGGAGUACGGUCGCAAGAUUAAAACUCAAAGGAAUUGACGGGGUCAUAGCUGUUUCCU
RNAcentral lists this ribosomal RNA (588 nucleotides) under uncultured bacterium. Its description in RNAcentral is "partial 16S ribosomal RNA". It matches the Rfam family "Bacterial small subunit ribosomal RNA", at positions 355 to 1375 of the family's 1533-position model. The record is from RNAcentral.